Molecule: long non-coding RNA, 967 nt
Filed under: Hordeum vulgare
Lineage: Eukaryota; Viridiplantae; Streptophyta; Magnoliopsida; Poales; Poaceae
Description: long non-coding RNA (HVUL_LNC019834)
Source: RNAcentral
UUUGAUGCAAGCCAUAAAUGGUACAGCUCAAGUGAUAGACUAUGAGUUCCGAACAGAAGUAUGAAAUUAAUCUGGCAUCUACCAAAAGACAUCCCAAACAGUUUUGGAAGUUUACAAAAGUAGGACUUGCAUACACAUUAACUUUAUUUAUGAGCUAUACUUUUAUGAUUUUUUAAACUCUCGAGUCAUUUUGUGCUUUGGGCAACUUUAGUGCUGGUGCAGGUCAUGUCAGCAGGCCAGCAUUAGUAAAUGAUGCAUAUUAAUUCAUAAACAAUAGUGCAAUGAUCUCUUGCAUUUACUACAUAGAGCAUUAGAGCAGUUUCGCUUACAAAACAGGACUGAAAGAGGCAUAUUGACAACUACGUUAUGUCUUCACAGAGAAAGGAAAGGUGCAUUGGCUUUCAUGCUUGAUUCGCAGAUCUGGUUCAGCCGUCUCUUUUAUCCUUAUUGCAGUUAGCACCUCCCAUACUAUGAUCCAUCUUCCUUUCUAAGCAUAAUUUCAGAAUGGUACAGCAUUUAGUUUGAAGAUAUGUGGCUGUGGUUCAUCUCUUCAUCCCACCCGUAGGUUAACCUUAUCCCUGAUCAGUCCGCCUUUGCCUCUUCCCAUUUUUGUUGUUUCUCUGGUAGCUACCGGUUGUUGUGGGCGUGUACCCCUCACAACCACCAACUGGUUUCCUAUGUGAACACAUCACCAUCAUCUUGGGUAGUCAAAUGGCAACAAUUGUUACAGUUAUUAUAUGAUUUAGUAUGAUUUCUGCUUGUGUGCAUUUCUUUCGCUACUAGUCACAAACCCUGGUUAUUCGUAUUGUGAGAUUGUUAGUCCCAAUACUCGGCAAGACUUCUCGACAUUGAUUAUGAUGGAUAUGACCUAAACUUCAAUGCUGUUUGAUUUUUUUCAUGAGCCGAGUUCAGUAGCACCUUGUCAAACAUCCUGGCCAUAUUUUUCUUCGCCGCUUGAACUAGGGAA